RNAcentral lists this ribosomal RNA (434 nucleotides) under uncultured bacterium. RNAcentral's name for it is "partial 16S ribosomal RNA". It matches the Rfam family "Bacterial small subunit ribosomal RNA", at positions 27 to 507 of the family's 1533-position model. The record is from RNAcentral.
GAACGAACGCUGGCGGCAUGCCUACCACAUGCAAGUCGAACGAGACCUUCGGGUCUAGUGGCGCACGGGUGCGUAACGCGUGGGAACCUGCCCUUAGGUUCGGAAUAACUCCCCGAAAGGGGUGCUAAUACCGGAUAAUGUCUUCGGACCAAAGAUUUAUCGCCUUUGGAUGGGCCCGCGUUAGAUUAGCUAGUUGGUAGGGUAAAAGCCUACCAAGGCGACGAUCCAUAGCUGGUCUGAGAGGAUGAUCAGCCACACUGGGACUGAGACACGGCCCAGACUCCUACGGGAGGCAGCAGUGGGGAAUAUUGGACAAUGGGCGAAAGCCUGAUCCAGCAAUGCCGCGUGAGUGAUGAAGGCCUUAGGGUUGUAAAGCUCUUUUACCCGGGAUGAUAAUGACAGUACCGGGAGAAUAAGCGCCGGCUAACUCCGUG